CAAUAGCGUAUAUUAAAGCUGUUGCGGUUAAAAAGCUCGUAGUUGGAUUUCUGUCAAGGACAACUGGUCCGCCCUUCGGGUGAGCACAUAGUUUGGUCUUGGCAUCUUGUUGGAAACUGUUGCUGCACUUGGUUGUGUGGCGCAGCGUCCAGCACUUUCACUUUGAGGAAAUUGGAGUGUUUCAAGCAGGCACAUGCCUUUGGACACAGUAGCAUGGAAUAAUUAGAUUGGGCUUUUGCUCCAACUUGUCGGUUUCUGGAGCUGAGGUGAGAAUUAAUGGGGAUUGUUGGGGGCAUCCGAAUUUAGCCGUCAGAGGUGGAAUUCUUGGAUCUGCUAAAGACGGACAACUGCGAAAGCGUUUGCCCAGGAUGUUUUCAUUGA
This 381-nucleotide ribosomal RNA is filed under the name uncultured eukaryote. Its description in RNAcentral is "partial 18S ribosomal RNA". It matches the Rfam family "Eukaryotic small subunit ribosomal RNA", at positions 592 to 976 of the family's 1831-position model. The record is from RNAcentral.